This 402-nucleotide long non-coding RNA is filed under the name Vigna radiata. RNAcentral's name for it is "long non-coding RNA (VRAD_LNC014887)". The record is from RNAcentral. Lineage: Eukaryota; Viridiplantae; Streptophyta; Magnoliopsida; Fabales; Fabaceae.
UACUAUUUGUAAAUCUUCAUUUUUCCUAAGUGCAUCAGAGGACAACCCUUGAAAUUACUCUCCUACAUGAUUCUUAACUCCUAUUCUCUUUCUUUAUUUAUUUAUUUUAAUCAUGACCCACUUCUUUCUAUCAUUCCCUGUACCUUAUUUUUUUUUCUACUCUACCAACCACUUUUACGUAACCCCAUAACCUUUUGAAAAGUUAUUUUGUGGUUAACCAUUAUUCACCCUUUCUUUUUUUUUUUCUACAACUAUAACCAAGAACUCAUUUACCUUUUCAGGAGAAAUUAUAACUAUGCUAAACCCGUCCAUAAAGCAUUCUUGUAACAUUUCCUACACUCACUCAAGAUAUAAAUAUUGUAUACUACCCAUCACAAUUUCAUUUGGAACAUAAAGGUUCAA